UGGGGUGUAGUGUAACGGUAGCACCACAGAUUCUGAUUCUGUUUGUCUGGGUUCGAAUCCUAGCACCCCAA
RNAcentral lists this transfer RNA (71 nucleotides) under Chitinophagaceae bacterium. RNAcentral's name for it is "tRNA-Gln". It matches the Rfam family "tRNA". Rfam says of the family: Transfer RNA (tRNA) molecules are approximately 80 nucleotides in length. The record is from RNAcentral. Lineage: Bacteria; Pseudomonadati; Bacteroidota; Chitinophagia; Chitinophagales; Chitinophagaceae. RNAcentral also lists the same sequence under 2 other names.